Molecule: non-coding RNA, 27 nt
Filed under: Bombyx mori (domestic silkworm)
Lineage: Eukaryota; Metazoa; Arthropoda; Insecta; Lepidoptera; Bombycidae
Source: RNAcentral
UCCCGUAGUCUGUGGUAUUGGCGUGAC